RNAcentral lists this ribosomal RNA (460 nucleotides) under uncultured bacterium. RNAcentral describes it as "partial 16S ribosomal RNA". It matches the Rfam family "Bacterial small subunit ribosomal RNA", at positions 338 to 795 of the family's 1533-position model. The record is from RNAcentral.
CCUACGGGGGGCAGCAGUGAGGAAUAUUGGUCAAUGGACGAGAGUCUGAACCAGCCAAGUAGCGUGAAGGAUGACUGCCCUAUGGGUUGUAAACUUCUUUUAUCUGGGAAUAAAAUGUUCCACGUGUGGGAUUUUGUAUGUACCUUAUGAAUAAGGAUCGGCUAACUCCGUGCCAGCAGCCGCGGUAAUACGGAGGAUCCGAGCGUUAUCCGGAUUUAUUGGGUUUAAAGGGUGCGUAGGUGGAUUGUUAAGUCAGUUGUGAAAGUUUGCGGGUCAACCGUAGAAUUGCAGUUGAAACUGGCAGUCUGGAGUACAGUAGAGGUGGGCGGAAUUCGUGGUGUAGCGGUGAAAUGCUUAGAUAUCACGAAGAACUCCGAUUGCGAAGGCAGCUCACUGGACUGCAACUGACGCUGAGGCACGAAAGUGUGGGUAUCAAACAGGAUUAGAUACCCCAGUAGUC